This 71-nucleotide transfer RNA is filed under the name Rhipicephalus microplus (southern cattle tick). RNAcentral describes it as "tRNA-Gly". It matches the Rfam family "tRNA". Rfam says of the family: Transfer RNA (tRNA) molecules are approximately 80 nucleotides in length. Their secondary structure includes four short double-helical elements and three loops (D, anti-codon, and T loops). The record is from Rfam by way of RNAcentral. Lineage: Eukaryota; Metazoa; Arthropoda; Arachnida; Ixodida; Ixodidae.
GCGUCGCUGGUUCAGUGGUAGAAUACUCGCCUGCCACGCGGGUGGCCCGGGUUCGAUUCCCGGCCGACGCA